Non-coding RNA from Microcebus murinus (gray mouse lemur), 861 nucleotides. The record is from RefSeq and is a predicted model, not a curated record. Lineage: Eukaryota; Metazoa; Chordata; Mammalia; Primates; Cheirogaleidae.
CCUCAGGAUCAGCUCCACUCAGCGUAUAGGCAUCGGUGUGGCACACUGCAGUGGCAAUGAUCUGCCAGGAUAUUAAAACAAUGAGCAUGUAAGUGUGUAUGACUGCAAUUCAGAGUGAGGUAAAGGUCAAAGGAAAGGCAUUUUACUUUAAUACCAUAUUUCAUUGAUUCUAAGAUAUAUAUUUUUUUCUUAUUUAAACCUCUUUAAAAUCAGCCUGUGCUUGCAAUCCAUGCCAUCUUAACAAUUACAAUUGGCAGCAUAUUUUUAGGAGUAUGUAAUAGAAAUGCUGUAUUUACAUACAAUGAAACAUGGCAUCUCUGUUUUCCUUUUCAGUGCAUUAGGGACACUGUGCCCUCAGGUGUGAAGAGGAACAUUGCCUGAGUGCGAAACAGGUGGAAGCCAUUUCAUGGCUGGCUUCCCUCAGGACUGCUGGGAACUGUGAUUUUAAAAAGUUUUGGGAUCAGCAGAAAGAGGAGCAUCCUACAAAGUCACCUGAAACUCAAACUACAGAAGAUAAAUUGCAGUAAACAUGGAUAUGGCUGCUCAGCCCCCAGAUCAAACCUGAAAAGAUGGAGAGGAGGCUGCAAAGUGUGCCUUGGGAUUUAUCCUCUGCAGACCUCAGAUCUACUCAGCUAUCCAGAGACCUAAUUGGACUGCCUGUCGCACAAGCUGUGCAACCAUAGCUCACUGCAUCGGCCAGCUCCCGGGCCCAAGCGAUCCCUCAGCCUGAGCAGCUGGGACUUCAGGGACCUGCCACCUUGUCCUGCUAUUAUCUAUCAUUUCUUUGGAACGCCAACAUUUAAGGUCGUAUAUCUUCUUAGAAAAUGCCUAAAGUUUGGAAAGCAUUAAAACAAUCAGCAA